UGCUAGUUGCACGAGUUUAGACUCGUAGCAGAUAGCUCAGUAACACGUGGCCAAACUACCCUAUGGACCCGGACAACCUCGGGAAACUGAGGCUAAUCCGGGAUACGGUUCGCAGCCUGGAAGUGGCGCGAACCCGAAACGUCCCGGCGCCAUAGGAUGUGGCUGCGGCCGAUUAGGUAGACGGUGGGGUAACGGCCCACCGUGCCGAUAAUCGGUACGGGUUGUGAGAGCAAGAGCCCGGAGACGGAAUCUGAGACAAGAUUCCGGGCCCUACGGGGCGCAGCAGGCGCGAAACCUUUACACUGCACGAGAGUGCGAUAAGGGGACUCCAAGUGCGAGGGCAUAUAGUCCUCGCUUUUCACCACCGUAAGGAGGUGGUAGAAUAAGUGCUGGGCAAGACCGGUGCCAGCCGCCGCGGUAAUACCGGCAGCACGAGUGAUGACCGCUAUUAUUGGGCCUAAAGCGUCCGUAGCUGGCCACGCAAGUCCGUCGGGAAAUCCGCGCGCUUAACGCGCGGGCGUCCGGUGGAAACUGCGUGGCUUGGGACCGGAAGAUCCAGAGGGUACGUCUGGGGUAGGAGUGAAAUCCCGUAAUCCUGGACGGACCACCGGUGGCGAAAGCGCUCUGGAAAGACGGAUCCGACGGUGAGGGACGAAAGCUCGGGUCACGAACCGGAUUAGAUACCCGGGUAGUCCGAGCUGUAAACGAUGUCUGCUAGAUGUGCCACAGGCUACGAGCCUGUGGUGUGUCGUAGGGAAGCCGUGAAGCAGACCGCCUGGGAAGUACGUCCGCAAGGAUGAAACUUAA
This 807-nucleotide ribosomal RNA is filed under the name uncultured euryarchaeote. Its description in RNAcentral is "bacterial SSU rRNA". It matches the Rfam family "Archaeal small subunit ribosomal RNA", at positions 52 to 859 of the family's 1478-position model. Lineage: Archaea; Methanobacteriati; Methanobacteriota. The record is from RNAcentral.